CGGGAAUAUCGAUUGGUUGGAGUAUAGCGUAAGUAACGAUGCAACAUAUUGUUUGUAUUGUUAUUUAUUUAAAGAUAGUAGCAUUCAUCAAGGUGGAGGUGAUGUAUUUUCGACCAUUGGGUUUAAGAGUUGGAAUAAAAAGAAAAGUUUGUGGAUACACGUUGGUAAGCCAAAUAGCAUUCAUAAUCAGGCAAAAAAAAAGAGUUGAAGAUCUAAGUCGACAACAACAGUCUAUUAUAUCUGCAUUUGGGAGGGAGCAAUAUGAUCAAUUUAAGCAUGAGUACUGGCUUCGCUUAACUGCUUCAAUUGAUGUAGUAAGACUUCUUGUGAAUCAAGGAUUUGCAUUUCGGGGUCAUGAUGAGUCUAAAUCAUCACUUAAUAGGGGUAAUUUUCUUGAAAUUCUCUCAUGGUAUGCGAAACACUGUGAUAAAAUUCAUGAUUAUGUAUUGGAACAUGCCCCUCAGAAUGACCGAAUGACCUCUCCAAUGAUUCAAAAAGAUAUUGUGACUGCAUGUAAGAUAGAGACCAUCAAAGCUAUCAUUGAGGAAUUAAAUGGUGACUACUUUGCCUGAUUAGUUGAUGAAUCUUUUGAUGUGUCACGUAAGGAGAAAAUGGCUGUUGUUUUACGAUAUGUUGAUCGAAAGGGAUUUGUGAUGGAGCGAUUGAUUGAUAUUGUACAUGUUCAAGAUACUAGUGCUUUAUCUCUAAAGAGUGCAAUUGUCAAUUUACUUUCUCAAAAUUCAUUGAGUCUAUCUUAUGUGCGCGGGCAAUGUUACGAUGGGGCAAGCAAUAUGCAAGGUGAGAUAAAAGGCCUUAAAAAGUUGAUUAGGCAAGAAAGUUUCUCAGCACAUUCUAUUCAUUGUUUUGCUCAUCAACUUCAACUAACUCUUGUUGCGGUUUCUAAAAAAUGUAUUCAAGUGGGGGAACUUGUAUUAUUAGUUUCAAAUGUUUGGAAUGUGUUGGGAGCUUCUUUUAAGCGUAUGGAUGAAUUUCGAGAAUCUCAAAAAGAAAGAAUUCAAGAGGCAUUAGAUAUGGGUGAACUUACAACAGGUAGAGGCUUGUAUCAAGAACUUGGUCUUAUAAGAGCUGGUGAUAUUCGUUGGGGAUCUCACUACAAAUCCUUUUGUAAUUUUAUUCUUAUGUUUGGCUCUAUUAUUUAUGUUCUUGAUGCACUUGUUGUUGAUGCAUGUUCUCCAGAUGAAAGUGCUAAGGCAACAGGAUAUCUUGAAGCUUGUCAAACAUUUAAGAUUGCUUUUAUGUUGCAUUUGAUGAGAGAUAUCUUAGGAAUCACAGAUGAGCUUAAUAAAUCAUUACAAAAGAAAGAACAGGAUAUUGCAAAUGCUAUGCUGCUCGUUGAAGUAGCAAAGAGAAGGUUGCAAUCGUUGAGGGAGGAUGCCUAGGAUGAGCUUAUUGAUAAGGUAUCGACAUUUUGUAUCAAGUAUAACAUUUUGAUACCUAAUUUUGAUGAGCCUUAUGUUAACUCUGGAAGAUCACGGCGUAAACCUGCUGAUCAUACGGUCUUACAUCAUUAUCGUUAUGAUGUGUUCUAUAAAAUUAUUGAUUGGCAACUUCAAGAACUCAAUGAUCGUUUUAAUGAGUAGGGGUGCUCUUGAGAAUCAGCUUGCGACAUACAUUAUUGAUGUCCGUGAUAUUGAUGAAAGGUUCGCCAAUCUGAAUGGACUUUGUGAUCUCUCAAGAAAACUAGUUCAAACGAAGAAGCACUUAAACUUUCCUCUUGUAUUCCGCUUAGUGAAAUUUUCUUUGCUUCUACCAGUUGCCACUGCAUCCGUUGAAAGACGUUUUUGGCAAUGAAGUUUAUUAAGAAUGACCUGCGGAAUCGGAUGAAUGACGGACUUUUGAGCGGCUGCUUAGUUCCUUAUGUAGAAAAAGAUGU
This is an RNA transcript of Lycium ferocissimum, 1894 nucleotides long. RefSeq lists it as uncharacterized. Lineage: Eukaryota; Viridiplantae; Streptophyta; Magnoliopsida; Solanales; Solanaceae. The transcript has 2 exons. The record is from RefSeq and is a predicted model, not a curated record.